Molecule: non-coding RNA, 82 nt
Filed under: uncultured Ruminococcus sp.
Lineage: Bacteria; Bacillati; Bacillota; Clostridia; Eubacteriales; Oscillospiraceae
Source: RNAcentral
ACAGGGGUGCUUAUGCAAAUCAUAGGCUGAGAUUAUACCCUAGACCUGAUUCGGAUAAUGCCGACGUAGGGAGUAUGCUUAU